GUCCAAGCUACUUCCUGUUUUUUGUCUGCCUUCUCACUUGUGUGAUUGUCUGCUGAGCCCUAAUCUGCUUCAUCUAUGUGUGACUUUCCUCCCCUCCUCGCGUUCAUAUAUGCAUUCUUUUCCUCGUGUUCUUUGCCAGUUUGUCUUGUGCCAUCUUGCCAGCAUCGCAGCCUGUUUCUGGGUGUGAUCUUCCAAGUGUCACAUGUGUGCAAGUGCAAAAGUCUUCAGUGAAGAGCUGGGUCUUUAGUCUUUUCUUAAAGACUGAGAGGGAUUCUGCAGAUUGAACAGAGCGUGGUAACUCGUUCCACCACCGGGGAACCACAGAGGAGAAGAGUCUAGUUAUCAAACUUGGGUCCUGUUGUGGUGGUUGUAUCAGGAACCUUUUGUUCGUGAAGUGGAAGGGGGUGUAGACCUGAAUGAGAGAGUUCAGGUAGGAGGGAGCUGUUUUCAUUGUAGUUUUGAAUGCACAUGUCAGAGUUUUGAAUUUGAUGUGUGCAGCAACUGGAAGCCAGUGAAGCGAUCUGAACAGCGGGGUGAUGUGCUGUUUUUGACCAGUUGAACACCAGAUGUCCUGCUUCAUUCUAGAUCAUCUGCAGAGAGUCCUUCAGCUGUAAAACAGUGGUGGGACUGCAGGUUACACUUCUCUAGG
This is a long non-coding RNA of Amphiprion ocellaris (clown anemonefish), 649 nucleotides long. Lineage: Eukaryota; Metazoa; Chordata; Actinopteri; Pomacentridae. The record is from Ensembl.